RNAcentral lists this non-coding RNA (126 nucleotides) under Bos mutus (wild yak). The record is from RNAcentral. Lineage: Eukaryota; Metazoa; Chordata; Mammalia; Artiodactyla; Bovidae.
GUGUUGUAUGAAAGUAGAGAAGGUUAGCACUCCCCUUGACAAGGAUGGAAGAGGCUCUCGGGCCUGACAACACACAUACGGUUAAGGCAUUGCCACCUACUUCGUGGCAUCUAACCACUGUUUUUG